Molecule: long non-coding RNA, 11420 nt
Organism: Gasterosteus aculeatus aculeatus (three-spined stickleback)
Lineage: Eukaryota; Metazoa; Chordata; Actinopteri; Perciformes; Gasterosteidae
Source: Ensembl
CCGGCUCUUUUUAGAGAAUCUCGUUCGGCUCCCAAAUGGCUCUUCUGAUUCUUAAAUUAAUUUAUCACCAACAAUAAUGUAAAAUUAUGCGCAAUAUGAAUUACUAAUGUAAAAAACCCCACUAUCAAAUGAUUAUAUAAAUACUUAUUUUAUACACACAAGAAAAAAAAACUGAGAUUUACAUCAAGACCAAGUGCCUCAGCUUUGGUUGGAAAUCACAUGUAAUCAUUUUGGCCAGUUCUUCAUCAAUUCAUAGACCAACGUCCGUUGCUCUCUUGUGACUCGCCUCCCUCUCUCCUGUUCGUGUGCUUGCUGUGUGCGUAACUCCCGCUCCUCCCCCCUGUGCUCAGCGGCGCACCCAACACACACACACACACACACACACACACACACACACACACACACACACACACAGGUAUGCAUUAGGUGGACUUUUCGCCAUACAGGCCCGGUUGUAGUCACUCAGCUCACUUUAGAUUUCAGAUACAAACUACACAACCUCAUACACAGCAACCUAAUUAUACUGUGGUAUAGGUAGACAUUUCUAUUUUGACCAAAGUAUGACUUAUAAGGACCAAAAAAACACUGUUGGGUCUUUGAAGGGACAAUGAUCCCGCCCACCUCAUUAACAUAAAUACACACAGACAGGACACAGCAUUACUGGAACCAUCAAUUUAAUAUAAAAAAUAAUGUUAACGGAUGGCCAAAUUAGGCCCCUCCAAAGUGACAGUAUGUGUAGAAAUCGAUCUAUACUAUCUAAAGAUCCAUCUAUGCAGAGGGAAUCAGCGAGUGCCUCUACAACCUGGCUUCAAUCUCUGGCUUUCAUUUAACAACGAGCUGGGGUUAUUUUUUUACUACUGUCCCACUCAGGACACAAGGAACCAGACUAGUGCGCUUUUGUAAACAAUUGUUUCAUACAAACGGACGAUAGUGCUUUUGUAAACAAUUGUUUCAUACAAAAGCACUAUAGUCCGUUUAUCAUACAAACUGAGGAGCCAGACUAGUGCUUUUGUAAAACAAGUCCUGUUUAACAAACAACCGAAAAGAACGACAGAGCGAUGGGCAAGACAUACAUAAUGAACAUUUCUUUCACCGCACUAUGGAAACUUACCUCAAGACAAUGAAGGGGAAAACGUGUACAAACUUGAAGAUUUCAGCCAUUAAGAAUUUAUGACGUCUCUUGACAGUAUUAGAGUAUUAUUACAUUAUGAUGAGGUGAAUGACAUGUGCUUGUAUACCUUUGUAUGUCAACAGAUUAGAAGACUGCCCGUGCCGUGGGAUAAAAGGAUGUAGAACAAAUAAAAUAAGUGUAUGUUUGUUUACAGUCUUUUUUCAGCUGUUCCGAUUACGGACGAACUCUCUGACAUUUUGCACAGUUCUUUGUUCCAAGACGGGUCCUUCCACCAACUUGCAGUGACUGCAUUCGUUCUUGGUGGCCAGGUGACCUUUACGAAUAUGGGUCUUUGAAGUGCCGCAUUACUGCUUGAACCUCAACUUUAGACCACGCUCUCUUUGUCCCUCUUCUGGACCCACCAUUUUUUCCUGGAAGAUACACGAAGUAGACAUAAACGAUCACACAAAAAUAAUUAUUGUUUUGCCUUCUUUCUUCUAUACCUUGUAGCAGUGCCAUUUUGUGUCCAAUUUAAGUACUUUAAAAAGAUGCUCUACCAUCAAACUUGGCAUACCUUCAGAGAGAGGGUAGCUCUCAUCUACUGGACGACACGCUUCCUUCUAAAACACAAAUUUCACUUUAUUUUCAAAUUUAAUUUAUCAUCAAAAGACUUUCCUUAAUAUUUCUGAAGAUAUUAACGAUAAACAUCAAACCAAAGGGAUCAAGUAAAAACUGAAUAGUCAAUACAGAACAAGUUUGAUAUUUCAUUGUAGCAGCAUGUCUUUUGUUCCCCAUCAACCAACAAAAACCAUUGUCAUAUUGAAAAAUCAAUUUGUAAAAUCAUUUCCUUUAGGAGAACUUUACCUUGCUAGAAUGUCAGCUCAUUCGCAGUAAAGGAGAAAAAGUCUGUCUCCUCUGACAUUCUUUAUGGUUUAUUAGUUAACCUCUAUAUUCUUCUCCUUUAUCAAAUGGAGCCGAGGUGAAGAUGCCGCGACCUAUUUCAUACACAGACAGAAAAAACAUCUGUCAAGCUUAUUCAUAUUUUAAUUAGGAUUACAAAAUCCAAACAUUCAACUUACUUAAGGCUUUGACAUAUUUGACGUCAAGUCCCACUUUGUCCCCUCCAGUAUCAAUGUAAAAUUUGCCAUUAUCCUUCUGAUUUAAGAGUCCUCGCCGAUGCAUAUUUUCUUACUGAAAUGAUCAAAGAAGGCUAUCAGGAUAAUUAUCUUUAUUUAUAGAACAAGCACGAUCAGAAAACAUUCUAUAGCCAUUUAAACCAGUAAUAAACGGAGAUAAAAUAAGAAAAUCUCUUAACAGCGCCAUUCAAAUUUUUAUUUGACACUGCUUCACAAUUUAAGAAUAUCUUUAUACUAUGUAAGAUUAACUGUAGAACAGCGGUUCCCAAACUCAAGAAUGCCGUGGCCCACUUUGAAAUCUGAAAAUCUUUAAUCACAACUCUGAUCAAAACAUAAACUAGGGAUGAUUAAAUGACCAUAAGAAUUUAAUUUUGAUUCAAAAUGUAUUAACCGACUAUGUAUGUUUUGUAUACCAUUUUCUCCGGAGCUCAUGUGCCGUGUUUUCCGCACAAUAAGGCGCAUAAGAUACUGCAGUCUAUCAGCGCAAAUCACUGUCAAAAUUCGAGAGCGCAAAUCAGGUUGAUGCGCGCGUAAAUCAAACAUCCGCGAGCAAAUCUGUCUCACGCGAAAUAUGUGCUGCUCGUGCUCGAAGGUGUUUCCUACGCGCUCGCUGUUUCUCUUUUUGACAGUAAGGGGGCGGAGCCAGUCACCAUGGUACCUACAUCUAAUUGGUUACAAACCCCGUCUUUGGAUUGGCCGGAGUUAUGCAUUCACACAACUAUAGAAGCCCAUUUCCGCACGAAAGAAAGGGGAUAGAAAUUUGAUUAUUUAUGAGAUAAAACGUUGUCAAAUAACAAACGCCCCGCUUCGGUAAUCGUAGUGGACCGUAGAUGACAACCAGCUACAACCAUCAUUCACCAUCAUUAUCAUCGUUUUUAUAGUUGUGUGAAUGCAACACUCCAGCCAAUCCAACGACGGGGUUUGUAACCAAUUCGAUGUAGAGACCAUGGUGACUGGCUCCGCCCCCUUACUGUCAAAAAGAGAAACAGCGAGCGCGUAGAAAACACCUUCGAGCGCGAGCAGAGAUUCGCCCUGCGAGCGAGCAAAUAUCUCGUGCGAGACGGAGAUUUUCUCGCGGAUGUUUCAAGGGGCGCGCGCAUCAACCUGAUUUGCGCUCUCGAAUUUUGACAGUGAUUUGCCGCCAUAUUAAUUCUUUUAAAAGUGAUAUUCGAAUCAAAUCCAUAUGUUGGCAUAACAGGUUUUGCAAUAGUAACAGAUUUCUAGCGACACGAUCAAGCAUAAAGUGUCACGGUGCUUUAAUAAUUGCUUGUGUUUGAUGUCAAUGAUCACCCACAAAACAACCACAGGGGCGGAAAUCAAAAUUUCAAAGCGGUAAAAGCGUUGAGAAAAUGACUCCUCCUUAUUGGUUAGCUAGUCUAAAAUAUUAAACUUUUCCCAACUUUGUGAAAGAAAUUGGGAGACACCAGAUUUUCUUAAUCACAGCUUGAAUGCGGGGAGGCGUACAAAUCUUCCUUUCCUAAACUUUGUAUGACCUCAGAUAAUUCCAACCAAAGUAUUGUUUAGGGAAUAAAAUGCAGUGUGCUGUGUAUUUCCCUAAGACUGUUUCCCCUCUAUCCUCUGCUCUUCUGUGGCAGUGAAAGCACAGUAUCUUCUGAAGUGAGAUCAGGAGGAGAACUCAUCCUAUUGCACGUGUGAGGUCUCUCCUUGCAUUUCUCCAACUGGUCCCUAUUAAAAAUUUAUAUUUCUCUGAGUGCAAAGUAAAUGCGGAUUAUAAAAAGAAAAGAAGCGCACUAUGAAAUGUGCUUGAGAGGAGUGCUCAGAGGAAAGCACACACCAAUCGAAAGACCUCCAGGUCAGCACAAAUAUCUUGGAGAUGACGAGAGUUACAUUUUGUGCAUUUCUACGAAGCCCUAUUUGCCCACAGUAUAAAAACAUCCCCAUCAAAGUAGCAUGGUGGAAAUGAAGCUCCUGUUCAAGGCAGGAGAACAGCUGAGAGUCCGAGACCAGUAGUCAGGCCAAACUUAAGCUUCUUUAUUGGUUUCCCGUGGUCAUUACUAUUUCAUCCAAGGUCACAAAUGGUCAGUCAAUGGAGUCAUCAUCCAUACAUUCUGGUAGAAAUUCACCAUAAUAAAACCAAGUGUCCUAUUUCACAUUUUCAAUGUAAUGCGCUAAUUGUCAAUUAACAGCUCAGCCUUAAAUUUUGGAAAAUUGAGGCAGGAAAGAAAGCGGGAGCCAAACGACGGACACAGUUGGAUGGAUAUUUGUCCUCCUCAGUAAUGCGUGUACAUACAUUAUGCAAUAAACAAGUGUGAAAGGGAAAUCUGUGAAACCUACAAGUAUGGAAAUGGUAAUCAGAUCCAACCAUUACCGUUGAGUGAGUUUUUUUAUUCUCAAUUACAACUAACCUUGAUGCCUCCCCCCGUGGGCUACGGCGUUCGAUUGCUCCAUGUCCACUUUGUGUGUGAGGCGAUAAGCACGGUCCACUCUCUUAACAAACACGGCUUGAGCUGUUUGCAUGUGGCUAUCUGGGAGGCAGGUGUGCAGGGAGGCUUUGACUUUUCAAGCCGUAUUCAAACAAAGACAGAUUACAUCUAUUCUUCCAGCGCCAGAGGGGCUUAUUUAACACAGGUUUGACACAUCUGUACGCAGCAGAAUGGACUGAGAUAAAAUGGAGAGGAGUGCGGGGGGUAAUACUGAGCUGACCAGAUAUGGAAAUGUGGGCAAUGUGUUAAAGCAACAUGGUGACGAGAUGAAGCGUGGCGGUGAUUGACAGCCUGGGGGGGAGACGUACGCUGUAGACGAGGAAAAAGAGAGAGAGAGGCAGAGAAGGGGGGAAGCACAUCUUACUUUACUCAUGGACUUGUCGAUACUCCUACAGGCUCUUUAAGAAUGGCGCUAGACGCUAUUGCUCUUCUGGAAAAAAGAAUGCCAACAAGAAGGAAGUCUGCUCCUUGGUUUAACCCUCAAACCCGGAACCUACAGCAAACUGCGCAAACCAAAUCAGAAGGAUCUAGGCUAGUUUGGCAAGACAGCCUUAAAACAUAUAAGGCGCUCUGUAAUGCAACAGCAUCUUUUUACUCAUCAUUAAUAGAGAAAACAACUCCAGGUUUCUCUCCAGCGCAAAGACUGACAGUCACAGCUCUGUCGAGCCACGUAUUCCUUUGAACCUCAGUAGUAACUAGGAUUGUCACAAUACAAAAAUGAUGACUUAGAUACCUGCCAAAAUAUUACAGUACCCGAUACUUACGAUAUGAUACUGGAAUAUUUACCUUUGAUAGUAAUAAAUAAAACAUCUGUAAGGUUCCCUUUCUUACCUGGCAUCUGUUUGACUGUGGGAUAAACAAUGCUUCAUUUACUUGCAUAAAGAUGUUUAUUCUCACAUUUGUAUUUCCUUGACCUAAUUCUUUGUAUUUUUAGUUAAGAUCCACCCUCAGACUCCACCAGCAUGUAGCCUAUUGGAUCAAGUGUGUAUUAUUUGGUACAAUUUUGUGUGCAUUCUGACCUCAUGAUCAUCAUAGGCCCACAUGAGUGAAAUUGUAGGUUAUUUUUGCUUGCUUGCUUGAUGUUUGACUGUUAGGAAAGUUGUUGUCUAGCGAGCCAACAAAGCUACAGGCUGCCAACUCUCACCGUUUCCUCGUGUGACGCACGCGUUUGCAUGUUUUCACACGCACUCAUGCCACACAUCCAACUUCUUAGGCAAAAAAAAAAUCUGCGUCGGUAUCGCCGAUGGUAAAUGGCGCAUCUGUAACCCGAUACGCUGCACGUAGCAUAACUUACACCCCCCGUCAGCCACAGCGCUCCCCCCCGACAACAUCUCCCUCUGUAGCGAUCACAAUAACAUUACAAAGAAGCCGACGCGAGAGCACUUAAUACUAUCAUCAGUGUCCGAGCGUGCUAUAACAAGCUUGAUAACAUCACUAACGAGAAGUCUUGCUAGCGGCUAAACUUAGCAAAACCUGUUCGCUUACUUUGUUUAUGACAAACUAGCAAGUCAACAAUUUUCCAAACAUAGUCAAACAUCAAGCAAGUGCAACACAAGACAAAGCAGACGUCCUCUUUUACCUUGACAUUUCAAGUAGUUCAUUUAAAAUAGGACGUCUGGUCACCCAAGCUAAGCUAGUCUAAGGCUACGCGUGUUAGUCUGCUACAGGAGGGCACGUCUGCCCUGAUAACUCGCUGUCAGAGACAGUGAAAGCCUGACAGGAAGCGCGCUCUGAUUGCCUGCCUGAUUUUAUGUUUUCAAGCCCGUCCCAUUCCCCACUUGCCAUGAAGGAGAAGUUGGUGCUGGUGCUGUGGUAAGCAUGUUUUUUCACAAAAAUGUUUUUUGCAUGUAAAAGUAAAUUUUCUUGAUUCAGGUAGAAAAAUGUAUAUCAUACAUGUUGAUGAACUUCCAACAUAAAACCAUGUGGUUGAUGCUAGCUGAAGAUUAGCCUGAAUUGCUAAGAGAUGUGUUUUUUUCUAAAAUAGUGGCUGUGGGGUAAAGUGAGAAAUGCUGAAGCACAAGUUAAGUUCAGUCUUAAACAUAUUUUAGUGUAAAAUUACAUUACAUGUUUUAUUUUUAAUGUAGAAUUGUAGAAAAGCAAUCAUGCCAAGAAACUACACCAGGAAGACAACCUGGGGCCCAACACCCCUCGCAGAGAUGGAGAGUGCAGCCGCUGAGGUCAUGCAAGGAAAGAAGUCCUUAAGAAAAAGCUGGAAGGGAUAGAAAUAUUGACAAGACAACCCUACAAAGAUUCAUAAAGAAAAAAGAGAAAGGGGAAGUAAAAUCAGUAGCCUGGGGUGCAGUAGCCGAGGCAAGGAGAAUAUUCACAGAUGAGAUGGAGGAGGAGCUUGCCAAACACUUGAAACAACUAGCUGACCAGUUCCAUGGCCUUGCUCCAGUUAAGUGCCGUGAACUGGCAUUUGAAUACGCAGAGAAAAACAAUAUCCCUGUCCCUGCCAAUUGGACAGAGAAACAAUGUUCAGGUAGGCUAGGGUGUGCAAGAGAUCACUUGAUUCUGUAGGUUAACUGAUCUUGCCACAAAGCUAAAUCUUAUAAUAAAGAAUUCUCUACUCUUUAGGAGAAGAGUGGUUUGGCAGCUUCCUAGCACGUCGCCAGCUCUCUGUCCGUACUCCGGAGGCAACAUCCCUGGGAAGGGCUACAGCCUUCAAUAAAACUACAAUGGGCUGUAGUGAUGGACAGGUGACAUAAUUCAUUAUUUAGUUGCAAAUUGUUUAUGGAGGCUUUACCUGUAAGAUAGUUUGGUUCUUGCCUAUCUUCUUUAACAGGUACACAUUCCCUCCACACAUGAUUUACAAUGUGGAUGAAACAGGUGUCUUUACAGUACAAACGCCACGGCAGGUAGGCUACACAUGAUACACUAGAGAGCACCAGACUGAUACUGAGUGGCUUGUGAUAAUGACCAGCUAGCUAUUGGCAGAAUGCUAAAACUAAUGAUAUUAGUAAUGUUGUGAACUGGAAAAAAAAAAUGAAUGGACUGAAACUAAAUACAAUGCACCUUUAGAACAAUAGUAGCCUACUGAUUGCAGAUGCCAUUGAUUCUAAACUUUCUAUUUGAUUCAGGUUGUGACAGAGAAAGGAAAAAAGCAAGUUGGUUCUAUCACAUUGGCUGAGAGAGGAGAACUGGUGACUGUAGUGUGUGCAGUGAAUGCUGCUGGGAAUGCCAUACCUCCAAUGUUUAUCUUCCCCAGAGUUAGGAUUAAGGACCACUUCAUGAUAGGAGCACCUCCUGGAGCCAAAAGGUGCCUCCACCAGAACAGGAUGGAUGAAUGAAGACACCUGGCCUGAGUUCCUUGAUCACCUGAUACAGCACACUAAGUGCACUCCUGACCAUCCCAUGCUGCUAAUCCUUGAUAAUCUUAAAGCUCACAUCUCACUCAAGGCAGUAGAAAAAGAAAAGAGCAACGGUAUUGUUCUGCUCACCCUUCCACCCCACACAUCCCAUCGCAUGCAGCCUCUCGACGUGACCGUGUAUGGCCCGUUCAAGACCCUAUACAGCAGAGCUCUUGAUGGGUGGAUGAGAUCUAACCCUGGCAAAACAGUCUCCAUCUACGAGUUUGCAGGACAUGUGAAUGAGGCCUUCUUAUCAGCAGUGACACCACGGAAUAUCACUUCUGGAUUCAAGGAUUUUCCCAUAUAACCGAGAUAUUUUCCCUGAGGAAGCGUUUGCACCAUCCAUGGUGUCAGACCGGCCAAAUCCUGAGCUGCAGCCUGCAUCCACUGGUCCAUCCACUUCAGAUGAUCCGACUGAUCCACCCGCUGCAGAUGAUCCACUCGCUGAUGCAGGUCCAUCCACUGCGCAUGGUCCACAUGGAUGUGCCUCGCCAGCUGACUCAGAUGUGCCACGUGUUCCCAGCCGACCUGGAUAUGUGUCUCCUCGGGAAAUCCUACCACUUCCCAAAUGUCCCCCCAGAGCACAAACCAAGAGAAAGCGUGUGAAGACAGCCAUCCUAACUGAUACUCCUGAGAAGCAGACACUAGAAAAGGCUUAUGAAGAGAGACAAAAGGAACUGGCAGGCAAAAAGCAAAGAAAAGGGACAACCGAAAAGGAAAGCACCCAAAAAGUUCUGAGGAUGAUCCUGGAAACGCAGAUCUGUCCGUGGGUGACUUUGUCCUAGUUAACUUUGCAACCAAACACAGGAGUCUCUGUUACAUUGGCAUGGUUGAGAAAGUUGAGGAUGACGAAGUUCUUACACAAUUCCUCAGAAGAAUCCAGGAAAACAAGAAAGAGUGGGAGAGACCCACGUUUGCUGUAAAGGAAAAUGAUCUGGCACAUGUUCCUAAAAGGUGAUGUGGUGAAGAAGCUGCCUCAACCUAAUAGGCCUGGAGGAACCACACGGAGAGAGCAACUCUUCACCUUUCCCUGUAACCUUCAGGGCUGGAAUGUAGGGUAGGCCUUGUUAUAGAGUAUGAGGCUGAUGUUCUAAUCCAGGUGGGUCUAGUCGUGUGUUCUGAGUCUCAGGCUGUUCUAGCUGGUUCUAAUUAUGGUCCCAUGACUGUUCUAAUGUAACUGGUUCUAUCUGCCAUUUGAAUGCUAAUAAAACCAUUUUGAAUUAUAUUAUGUUGUAUAUGAUUUUGUUCGGAGUUACUUUCAAGUGUUUAAACAAAAAAUGUACUUACUUGACCAAUCCCCAUGAUUCUGUUACUAGUCCGAUAUUAGUUCUCCUUCAGGGACUACCGCUGCGUGUAAUCGCAGUGGGAACGCCCUCAGCGUGACGCGUCUGAAGCAUGAAUGAAAUCAGUCAAUGGAGAGAAAGAGCGUACGGCGAGUGACGUCAUCGACCAGGAAGCUGUAAAUAUCCCCAGAGCACACAACACGCCAGCUUUUUUUACUUCAGCAGCUCGGUAUGUGUGUCUGAAUCUGUCGAUUGUGUUUGUCUGUUCUGUCAGGAGUUUAUCACUAUAUAUUUAUAUAUAUAUAAAAAACCAAUAUGAGCGAGCAGUAUAAGAAGUGUGUUCCUCCCUGUACUCGAUAUAUCACGGGUGGGGAUUCACACAAGUUAUGUGUGGCUUGUUUGGGUGUUCAACAUGCCCAGUCGGCUCUUGAGGGAGUCGACUGUAAGCAUUGCGAACGCUUUCCUCUUAGAACUCUGCGCUCGCGGCGAUCGCUCUUUGAGGAGAGUGGUAUGCUGCGAGCUCCCCAAGGCUCGGGUCCCGCUUCUGUUGAGGCAGAGCGGCGGCGCUUGUCUUGGGGUUCGCAGAUGGAUCUCACCGGCGAUGUUGCGACAGGCCCCGCCCUGUCUCAGCCUUCUCCGGCGGGAUCCAGUGCCUUUCACCCGGUUUCGGAAGCACGCGCUGCGGCGGUUACUUCUGCCCAGGUGGAGGCACAUGAUGAUGUUGAAUUGAGAUUAUCCAGUUCUGAGGAUCUGGAUGUCGAAAGUUUUGCAUCAGAGGAAACUAGUGUCUCACAUUAUACUGCAAAUGAAGAAGGUUUGAUGGAUGUGUUAUCUCGCGCUGUUGAAAAGCUCAGUAUCGAGUGGCCAGCUGAUAGACAGGAUUCUAAAAUUAGAAGCAAACUUGAUGAUAGAUUUCUGUCUGCACGACCUCAACCUUCUCGCCGGUGCUUACCGUUCUUCCCAGACCUUCAUGAUGAGGUUUCAAAUACCUGGGUUAGACCGGUUUCUAGCAGAAUUUACACGAAUCAAUCUAAUGCUUAUGGAAACAUUUUUGGUGCAAAAUCUGCUGGUUAUGUGACAAUGCCGAAGGCGGAGGAGACGCUCGCGAGCUAUCUCUCUCCUGCUUCUUCGGUUUCACUUAAAGCACCGGCUCUUCCAUCUAGACCACUAAAAAAUACCUCUGUGCUGGUGGGGAAGGCUUACUCGGCUGCUGGGCAGGCGGCUGCGUGUUUGCACACUAUGGCUAUUAUGCAGGCUUAUCAGGCCGACCUGCUCAAAGAUGUUUCUGAAGGGGGUGAAAUUUCGGCUGAUAUGAUUAGCGAACUUAGGCAGACUGCUGAUCUCACUCUGCGUGCCACCACUAAAUCUAUUGGUCGAUCUAUGGCAGCCAUGGUGGCCACAGAAAGGCACUUAUGGUUGAGUCAGACAUCUAUGAAGGAAAGAGAUAAAUCUCUCCUUUUAAAUGCUCCUGUUUCACCUGCGGGCCUCUUCGGUGACGCUCUUCACUCGGUCACGGAGAGGUUCCAGGAAGAGAAAAAACAGGCGGCUGCUUUUUCUAAAUUUAUCCCUCUCAAGAUACGUGUCACUGGGGCUGCUGAGCGAAAAGGGCAGUCCCAGCCGUCGAGUUCUUCCUCUUCAAAAAGAGCACAGCAGAAGCGGAGUGUCGCGUCUCGUGCCCCCCCGCAGGGAAACUGGAGGGACGAGGCGGGGCGCUCUCCGGCGCGGCCUUCUCGGGGCAGGACUGAUCUGAGGACAGUCAUUGUCGCCAGGAAGGCCGCGUCGAAAAAGUCCUGACGGGCUGAACGUCAGGACUCUGAGGGUGGUCCCCAUCGGGAGAGACUUGAGUUCACCGCACAAGAACACGGUGCCCUGUCUUUCCCGAUGCCCUCAGGGGUCUGUUCUACUAACCCUGCCUACACAGGGCGUAGAGAGACUCGGCGAGCGAUUUCCCGAGGGACGCUCGCCCCCUCCGAGGAGGGUUGUGGAGUGUUCAGACCAGCUGUUUCCUGCCAGUAUGUUACAGGGCGCUGUGUCUGUCACUCGGGAUGUUCAUCCAGAGACCAGCCUCGAGAGGCUGGUUCCCUUAGUAGAGUUCC